RNAcentral lists this ribosomal RNA (208 nucleotides) under uncultured bacterium. RNAcentral describes it as "partial 16S ribosomal RNA". It matches the Rfam family "Bacterial small subunit ribosomal RNA", at positions 142 to 334 of the family's 1533-position model. The record is from RNAcentral.
AGUAACAGUUGGAAACGACUGCUAAUACCGCAUACGAUCUAAUCUCGGCAUCGAGGAUAGAUGAAAGGUGGCCUCUACAUGUAAGCUAUCACUGAAGGAGGGGAUUGCGUCUGAUUAGCUAGUUGGAGGGGUAACGGCCCACCAAGGCGAUGAUCAGUAGCCGGUCUGAGAGGAUGAACGGCCACAUUGGGACUGAGACACGGCCCAG